CGUGGUAGGCAGUUCACCUAAGAGAGCAAACUCUAAACAAACCCGGGCAGGUGGAGGUCGUUAGCCGUGGUAGGCAGUUCACCUAGGAGAGCAAACUCUAAACAAACCCGGGCAGGUGGAGGUCGUUAGCCGUGGUAGGCAGUUCACCUAGGAGAGCAAACUCCGAACAACAAACCCGGGCAGGUGGAGGUCGUUAGCCGUGGUAGGCAGUUCACCUAGGAGAGCAAACUCCGAACAACAAACCCGGGCAGGUGGAGCUCGUUAGCCGUGGUAGGCAGUUCACCUAGGAGAGCAAACUCCGAACAACAAACCCGGGCAGGUGGAGGUCGUUAGCCGUGGUAGGCAGUUCACCUAGGAGAGCAAACUCUAAACAAACCCGGGCAGGUGGAGGUCGUUAGCCGUGGUAGGCAGUUCACCUAGGAGAGC
Long non-coding RNA from Eriocheir sinensis (Chinese mitten crab), 426 nucleotides. RefSeq lists it as uncharacterized. The transcript has 3 exons. NCBI's taxonomy places the organism in Eukaryota, Metazoa, Arthropoda, Malacostraca, Decapoda, Varunidae. The record is from RefSeq and is a predicted model, not a curated record.